CAGUCGCCGCGGUAAUACGAAGGGGGCUAGCGUUGCUCGGAAUGACUGGGCGUAAAGGGCGCGUAGGCGGCGAUCAAAGUCAGGCGUGAAAUUCCUGGGCUCAACCUGGGGGCUGCGUUUGAUACUUGGUUGCUAGAGUGAGGAAGAGGGUCGUGGAAUUCCCAGUGCAGAGGUGAAAUUCGUAGAUAUUGGGAAGAACACCGGUGGCGAAGGCGGCGACCUGGUCCUUGACUGACGCUGAGGCGCGAAAGCGUGGGGAGCAAACAGGAUUAGAUACCCCUGUAGUCCCUGUCUCUUAUAC
This 301-nucleotide ribosomal RNA is filed under the name uncultured bacterium. Its description in RNAcentral is "partial 16S ribosomal RNA". It matches the Rfam family "Bacterial small subunit ribosomal RNA", at positions 509 to 807 of the family's 1533-position model. The record is from RNAcentral.